Molecule: ribosomal RNA, 649 nt
Filed under: uncultured bacterium
Lineage: Bacteria
Description: bacterial SSU rRNA
Rfam family: Bacterial small subunit ribosomal RNA
Source: RNAcentral
GGUACCUACCCUGGGGUUCUGAUAGCCAUCAGAGAUGGUGGGUAAUACCGGAUGACCUCGUGAGAGCAAAGAUUCAUCGCCCUGGGAGGGGCCCAUGUGAUAUUAGCUAGUCGGCGGGGUAAAGGCCCACCAAGGCUUAGAUGUCUAGCGGGUGUGAGAGCACGACCCGCGCCACUCGCACUGAGACACUGGCGAGACACCUACGGGUGGCUGCAGUCGAGGAUCUUCGGCAAUGGGGGCAACCCUGACCGAGCGACGCCGCGUGUGCGACGAAGGCCUUCGGGUUGUAAAGCACUGUCGAGGGGGAGAAAAGCCGAAAGGUGUGAUCUAUCCCUGGAGGAAGCUCGGGCUAAGUUCGUGCCAGCAGCCGCGGUAAGACGAACCGAGCGAACGUUGUUCGGAAUAACUGGGCUUAAAGGGCGCGUAGGCGGGCCGCCAAGUUCGAGGUGAAAUCCUCCGGCUCAACCGGAGAACUGCCUCGAAUACUGGAGGCCUCGAGGCGGGUAGGGGCGUGCGGAACUGUGGGUGGAGCGGUGAAAUGCGUUGAUAUCCACAGGAACUCCGGUGGCGAAGGCGGCACGCUGGACCCGAUCUGACGCUGAGGCGCGAAAGCCAGGGGAGCAAACGGGAUUAGAUACCCUGGUAGUCC